Podarcis lilfordi (Lilford's wall lizard) is the source of this 4603-nucleotide non-coding RNA. Lineage: Eukaryota; Metazoa; Chordata; Lepidosauria; Squamata; Lacertidae. The record is from the annotation of a GenBank genome assembly.
UACACCACUAAUCCGCUGCCACCAACCAGGUCCUCCCCGGUAAAUCACUUAGUCUCAGUCAGGUUCUCAAAUUAACAAAGAAGAGUGUAGUUUAUUUCAGACACAAACAAACUUUAACUGCAUUCCAAACGUUGUUACUCUUUACCUUCUUAGUCUUGUUUUAUCCUGUCUCUAUCUCUUCUACCUCCCCUCACACGAGAACCCACUGCACUAACUGCCUCUCUAUUUCCAACUGCCUGCCAACUGCUUUUCCAGCUGCCUUUCCCAACCAACCAACCCACUAAAACCAACCAACUACCAACAACUAACUCAAACCUCGGGCUAAGCCCUUUUAUAUACAGGUAGGCUCCGCCUCCGGCUUUCCUAUUGGUUUAGAUAUUAACCCUUUCUCUCCACCUGUACAGACAUUUUUCUUUUUCUUUUUCUUUUUUAUAAUUUUUAUUAAGGUUUUAAACAAAGAAAAAAGAAAAACAACACACACACACACACACACACAAAAACAAUACAAAAUUUAACAAUAAAAACACAAAACAUAACAAUUAAAAACAAACUCUCUUUUCCAUUCCCAAUUUUAAAUUACUUAUUUUCUGGACUUCCUCAUACCUCCCUCUUUUGUAUUCCAAUCUGCAUUAUUUGUCCAGCAGUUUCUUUUCCACUUUUUUAAACCCAAUCUUUAAUUUAAUAAAAUUUUAAAAUAUAUAACUUCAACUUUUUUUUUAAACAUAGUCCUUGUUCUUAAUGUCAUAUACCUUUAAAUUUUUCCCUUUUAUUAUCAAAUUUCCAUUUCUUUAAACAUCUUUAAUCUUGAUCUUUAAUCUUAAUCUAUCCUUAACUUUAACCUGUAUAGCUGGAAACCACUUAUUUUCAAUCCAACAUCACUCUAACAUUCCUUAAUUUUGCAGUGUUUCUGAAGAUAGUCUUUGAAUUUCUUCCAGUCUUCCUCCAUCGACUCUUCUCCCUGAUCACGGAUUCUGCCAGUCAUUUCCGCCAAUUCCAUAUAGUCCAUCAGACAUUUUUCAAACGAAUGGGCAAAAGCCACAAGCAUACCCUCCAACAUUUCUCCAGUGAAAAUAGGGACAUCUUAGUCUACAUCAGGAAGCUUCUCCCACAUUUGAUUUCCCGCAGACAUAAAUGUCAUAUACAGAUCAACAUUGGUCACCUUGAGCCAAUCUCUCUGCCUCACCUACCUCACAGGGUUGUUGUAAAGACUUCCUCCUGAGCAGACAGUGUAGGGCUCAAUUUACAAUAAAGAGAACAACAUGAAAAUGAUGUACCGUUGGUAUUUGACUCCGGUAAAAUUAGCCAAAAUGUAUAAAAACACCUCCAACUUAUGCUGGAGGUGUAAAGAUAAAGAUGGUACUCCUUACCACAUGUGAUGGACAUGUAAAAUAGUAAAAGACUUCUGGGAAAUGAUAUACAAUGAAUUAAAAACAAAUGUUUAAGAUAACCUUUAUCAAAAUACCAGAAGCCUUUUUGUUGUUGUUUAGUUGUGUCCGACUCUUCGUGACCCCAUGGACCAGAGCACGCCAGGCACUCCUGUCUUCCACUGCCUCCCGCAGUUUGGUCAAACUCAUGCUGGUAGCUUCGAGAACACUUUCCAACCAUCUCAUCCUUUGUUGUCCCCUUCUCCUUGUGCUCUUCAUCUUUCCCAACAUCAGGGUCUUUUCCAGGAAGUCUUCUCUUCUCAUGAAGUGGCCAAAGUAUUGGAGCCUCAGCUUCAGGAUCUGUCCUUCCAGUGAGCACUCAGGGCUGAUUUCCUUAAGAAUGGAUAGGUUUGAUCUUCUUGCAGUCCAUGGGACUCUCAAGAGUCUCCUCCAGCACCAUAAUUCAAAAGCAUCAAUUCUUCGGCGAUCAGCCUUCUUUAUGGUCCAGCUCUUACUUCCAUACACCAGGAGCCUUUUUACUAGGAUUGAUAGGAGAUGAAAUACCAAAAGAAUUAAAAAGAUUUUUUAUGUAUGUGACAAGAGCCGCAAGGAUGUUACUUGUCCAGAAGUGGAAGGAAGAAAAAAUCCAGACCAAAGAAGAGUGGAUAGCCAAGAUGAUGGACUAUGCCGAAAUGGCAAAGAUGACCAAGACAACAAGAAAUUUGUGGGAAAAGUUCAUAGAAUAGCUUAAGGACCAUUGUGUAUACUUAAAAAUAUUAGCAGGGUUAUUGUAACACGUAUAAUGUAAUAUUAGUUAAAAGGAGGGGGGUGAUAAAAUAAAUUAGAAAAAUGUAAUUACAUGCAAAGAAAUAAGGGAAAAUUUGGAAAUCAGGGGGGAGUCCGUCCAAGGGAUUCAAGUUAUUCCAGAAGUGUAAAAUAUCAAAAUGUUGUUAAGGUAUCAAAAUUCUGUUUUUAAAAAAUUAAAUUAAAAUAAAAUAUUCAAAAUAAAAUAAAAUAAAGGAAUCAAUACUCUUCAUAUUUCCUAAGAUAUGGCUGACUAUUCCUCUUUUCCAAGCUAAACAUACCCAGCUCCUUCAAGCGGUUUUUGUAAGGCUUAAUUUCCAGACCCUUGAUCAUCUUGGUUGCCCUCCUCUGCACACGAUCCAGCUUGUCAACAUCCCUUCUUAAAUUGUGGUGCCCAGAAUUGGACACAGUAUUCCAGGUGUGUUCUAACCAAGGCAGAAUAGAGUGGUACUUCCCUUGAUCUGGACACUAUACUUCUAGUCUAGAAUAGUGUUAAACUGCAUCACACUGUUGACUCAUGUUAAGCUUGUGGUCCACCAAGAUUCCUAGAUCCUUUUCGUGUAUAUUGCUAGUAAGCCAGGUGUCCCCCAUCCUAUAGUUGUGCAUCUGGUUCUUCCUGCCUAAGUUCAGAACCUUACAUUUGUCCCUGUUGAAAUUCAUUUUGAAUUUUCUCAUUAAUGGUUUAAAAAAAAAAUUCAUCUGAGGUUGCCAUGAAAACUGAAACCUAAAAAAAACCCCCACCUUACAAUGGUAUUAUCAGCAGUCAUUUUAAUAAGAUCCUUUGUGCAUCUAGAGAACAUUUUAAGAGCAUUAGCAGAAGAGAAAGCCUGUCAAGGAACAUCAGCAAACAAGAAGGGAUACUAAACCCUAUCUAAUCCCUCAUUAAUGCAUGUUGCUGGGUUAUUGGUAAUCUGAAUCUUUAUGCUUGACAGCUUUUAGGGAAUCAAAUACACCAUAAGGAUCAGAGGAUGGGGAGACAAACUUUAUGACAGCCAGGGCUUUUCACCUCAAGCUAGUUACUUCAAAUUUGACCCCAAUCACUCAGUAACAUUUGGGAUAAUUCCCCACCUUCCUUUUAAAGGGACGCGGGUGGCACUGUGGGUUAAACCACAGAGCCUAGGACUUACUGAUCAGAAGGUCGGUGGUUCAAAUCCCUGCGACGGGGUGAGCUCCCGUUGCUCAGUCCCUGCUCCUGCCAACCUAGCAGUUCAAAGGCACGUCAAAGUGCAAGUAGAUAAAUAGGUACUGCUCUAGCGGGAAGGUAAACGGCGUUUCCGUGCGCUGCUCUGGUUUGCCAGAAGUGGCUUAGUCAUGCUGGCUACAUGACCCAGAAGCUGUACACUGGCUCCCUCGGCCAAUAAAGCAAGAUGAGCACCGCAACCCCAGAAUCGGCCACGACUGGACCUAAUGGUCAGGGGUCCCUUUACCUUUAAUGAUUGUUCUGCAAUGUGUUUCUAGGGGACAGGAAGCCCCGUUGAGAACUGGCCGCAGUAACUACAGUUCAUAGGAUAUGUCUGUAAGGCAGAUUCCCACAAUCUCAUUCACCCACAUGGGAAAUUCACAGAUGUACUCUGUAAAUUCUGUGCAAAAACAUAUCACAGUACUGGAAAUGUUUUACUGAGCCUGAUUCUGAUAUUUGGAAACACUAUCAUGACCCUGAAAUGGAACAGAUACUGAGGUCCCCUGGAAAAUUACAUGUUCCAGGGCUUCCUGCUGAUUUGUCCCAAAAGUUAUGCUAUUGUCCAAGCUGGAGGACAGGGGUGCCAACAUGAAUAAAAGAUGGGGGGGCAGAUAAGCCCCACCCCACACAAUCGAUCACAUGAUGCGGUGCACACACAUUUGAAUGGUAAUGCCCAUCAACUUGGGGGGAGGACCCAUCUCCCUCAAAUAUUUUAUUGUGGGGGCAGAAGCCCUGUGGACCCUAGGAGUUGGCUCCUAUGCUUGAAAAUAAAUUGGGAGGUGGGAACAUGGUGCUCAAUUUGUAUUGCAGACAAGCCUUACUAGCAGAACUUCUCAUUCCAAGCUAGAGAAGAUAACAUUCUGAGUCAUGCCAGCAUUAACUUUAGCAAAUCACUACAGUACUUGUAAAUUCAGGAAAUGCAACAGAUAUUCUUAGCCAAAUUGUGGCAGUGAAAUUCAGGUUCCAAGAAUAAAAUCAGUAAUUAGUUAGGUGUGACCUUCAGCAUGUGUAAAGGGAAUAUGUUGAGUGGGUUGGAAACAGGGGUGUGUGACAGGGUGAAGCCAGGGGUGGGUGGGUGUGAAUGUUAAGUUGUUCUUAGCUAGUUUUUUUUUGUUUUUUUGUUUGCAGGAGCUAUUCUGCCAGGAUUUUACCAUCCGCGUAAAUCUUCAUGGCCAUACUGAUGCCAAAGAGGGAUGUAUGCUGAUCCCCCCAUCUGAGAAUGUUUCUUAGUUGUGUUUAUAAUAAAACAAGUGCU